Molecule: ribosomal RNA, 2111 nt
Filed under: Salmonella enterica
Lineage: Bacteria; Pseudomonadati; Pseudomonadota; Gammaproteobacteria; Enterobacterales; Enterobacteriaceae
Also listed under: 1 other name
Description: partial 23S ribosomal RNA
Rfam family: Bacterial large subunit ribosomal RNA
Source: RNAcentral
AGACCCGAAACCCGGUGAUCUAGCCAUGGGCAGGUUGAAGGUUGGGUAACACUAACUGGAGGACCGAACCGACUAAUGUUGAAAAAUUAGCGGAUGACCUGUGGCUGGGGGUGAAAGGCCAAUCAAACCGGGAGAUAGCUGGUUCUCCCCGAAAGCUAUUUAGGUAGCGCCUCGUGAAUUCAUCUCCGGGGGUAGAGCACUGUUUCGGCUAGGGGGCCAUCCCGGCUUACCAACCCGAUGCAAACUGCGAAUACCGGAGAAUGUUAUCACGGGAGACACACGGCGGGUGCUAACGUCCGUCGUGAAGAGGGAAACAACCCAGACCGCCAGCUAAGGUCCCAAAGUCAUGGUUAAGUGGGAAACGAUGUGGGAAGGCCCAGACAGCCAGGAUGUUGGCUUAGAAGCAGCCAUCAUUUAAAGAAAGCGUAAUAGCUCACUGGUCGAGUCGGCCUGCGCGGAAGAUGUAACGGGGCUAAACCAUGCACCGAAGCUGCGGCAGCGACACUCAGGUGUUGUUGGGUAGGGGAGCGUUCUGUAAGCCUGUGAAGGUGGCCUGUGAGGGUUGCUGGAGGUAUCAGAAGUGCGAAUGCUGACAUAAGUAACGAUAAAGCGGGUGAAAAGCCCGCUCGCCGGAAGACCAAGGGUUCCUGUCCAACGUUAAUCGGGGCAGGGUGAGUCGACCCCUAAGGCGAGGCCGAAAGGCGUAGUCGAUGGGAAACGGGUUAAUAUUCCCGUACUUGGUGUUACUGCGAAGGGGGGACGGAGAAGGCUAUGUUGGCCGGGCGACGGUUGUCCCGGUUUAAGCGUGUAGGUGUGUGUUCCAGGUAAAUCCGGUUCACUUUAACACUGAGGCGUGACGACGAGGCACUACGGUGCUGAAGCAACAAAUGCCCUGCUUCCAGGAAAAGCCUCUAAGCAUCAGGUAACAUCAAAUCGUACCCCAAACCGACACAGGUGGUCAGGUAGAGAAUACCAAGGCGCUUGAGAGAACUCGGGUGAAGGAACUAGGCAAAAUGGUGCCGUAACUUCGGGAGAAGGCACGCUGACAUGUAGGUGAAGUGAUUUACUCAUGGAGCUGAAGUCAGUCGAAGAUACCAGCUGGCUGCAACUGUUUAUUAAAAACACAGCACUGUGCAAACACGAAAGUGGACGUAUACGGUGUGACGCCUGCCCGGUGCCGGAAGGUUAAUUGAUGGGGUCAGCGCAAGCGAAGCUCCUGAUCGAAGCCCCGGUAAACGGCGGCCGUAACUAUAACGGUCCUAAGGUAGCGAAAUUCCUUGUCGGGUAAGUUCCGACCUGCACGAAUGGCGUAAUGAUGGCCAGGCUGUCUCCACCCGAGACUCAGUGAAAUUGAACUCGCUGUGAAGAUGCAGUGUACCCGCGGCAAGACGGAAAGACCCCGUGAACCUUUACUAUAGCUUGACACUGAACAUUGAGCCUUGAUGUGUAGGAUAGGUGGGAGGCUUUGAAGUGUGGACGCCAGUCUGCAUGGAGCCGACCUUGAAAUACCACCCUUUAAUGUUUGAUGUUCUAACGUGGACCCGUAAUCCGGGUUGCGGACAGUGUCUGGUGGGUAGUUUGACUGGGGCGGUCUCCUCCUAAAGAGUAACGGAGGAGCACGAAGGUUGGCUAAUCCUGGUCGGACAUCAGGAGGUUAGUGCAAUGGCAUAAGCCAGCUUGACUGCGAGCGUGACGGCGCGAGCAGGUGCGAAAGCAGGUCAUAGUGAUCCGGUGGUUCUGAAUGGAAGGGCCAUCGCUCAACGGAUAAAAGGUACUCCGGGGAUAACAGGCUGAUACCGCCCAAGAGUUCAUAUCGACGGCGGUGUUUGGCACCUCGAUGUCGGCUCAUCACAUCCUGGGGCUGAAGUAGGUCCCAAGGGUAUGGCUGUUCGCCAUUUAAAGUGGUACGCGAGCUGGGUUUAGAACGUCGUGAGACAGUUCGGUCCCUAUCUGCCGUGGGCGCUGGAGAACUGAGGGGGGCUGCUCCUAGUACGAGAGGACCGGAGUGGACGCAUCACUGGUGUUCGGGUUGUCAUGCCAAUGGCACUGCCCGGUAGCUAAAUGCGGAAGAGAUAAGUGCUGAAAGCAUCUAAGCACGAAACUUGCCCCGA